CCUACGGGAGGCAGCAGUGGGGCAUAUUGCACAAUGGGGGGAACCCUGAUGCAGCGACGCCGCGUGAGUGAAGAAGUAUUUCGGUAUGUAAAGCUCUAUCAGCAGGGAAGAAGAUGACGGUACCUGACUACGAAGCCCCGGCUAACUACGUGCCAGCAGCCCCGGUAAUACGUAGGGGGGAAGCGUUAUCCGGAUUUACUGGGUGUAAAGGGAGCGUAGACGGGAGGGCAAGUCUGGAGUGAAAGCCCGGGGCACAAACCCGGGACUGCUUUGGAAACUGGCAUGCUCGAGUGCUGGAGAGGUAAGCGGAAUGCGUAGUGUAGCGGGGAAAUGCAGAGAUAUUAGGAGGAACACCAGUGGCGAAGGCGGCAUACUGGACAGUAACUGACGUUGAGGCUCGAAAGCGUGGGGAGCAAACAGGAUUAGAUACCCCAGUAGUC
This 440-nucleotide ribosomal RNA is filed under the name uncultured bacterium. RNAcentral describes it as "partial 16S ribosomal RNA". It matches the Rfam family "Bacterial small subunit ribosomal RNA", at positions 338 to 795 of the family's 1533-position model. The record is from RNAcentral.